AUGGGAGUGUUUAAACUCAAUCCGAGCUUCUGUGAUAAAUAUGAGAAGGUCAUUAGAGAUUUUUGGUGGGGCGACAAAGACGACAAACGCAAGGUCCACUGGAUGUCGUGGGAAAAUAUGACAAAACCAAAAUGUGAUGGUGGUAUUGGCUUCCAGGAUAUGCACCUGUUUAAUCAGGCUCUGCUAGCUAGGCAAGGUUGGAGACUGCUUCAUAAGCCAGGUAGUCUCUGUGCUAGGGUACUGAAAUCGAAAUACUACCCUAAUGGUAAUCUCCUCAAUACCAUCUUCUGGUCGGAUGCAUCCCCAGUGUGGAGGGGAAUUGAGUUCGGCCUGGACCUUCUGAAAAAGGGUCUCUUUUGGAGAAUCGGAGACGGCAGAAGCAUUCAAAUUACAAGAGAUCAGUGGAUUCCAAGGAAAGAGGGAUUGAAAGUGGCGUCUUUUAGAAGGAGAUCCAGGCUGAGGUGGGUAAACCAACUGAUUGACACACAAACUAAAGAGUGGAAUGUCGAACUAGUGAGGCAGAUUUUCCACUCCUUUGAUGCAGGCGAGAUAUGCAAAUUAAAAAUUCCACGGGCUGAUGUAGAGGAUUGUAUUGCUUGGCACUACGAUAAAACGGGAAUCUUCACGGUCAGGAGUGCCUACAAGCUUGCUGAUUCACUAAAAAGAAGUGGUACAGAAAGAGCUACAAGCUCGCCGAGAGACGCGGGUGAUCGCAGCAUAUGGGACGCAAUCUGGAAGGCUAAGAUACCGGAGAAGGUGUAG
RNAcentral lists this ribosomal RNA (762 nucleotides) under Triticum aestivum (bread wheat). Its description in RNAcentral is "partial small subunit ribosomal RNA". Lineage: Eukaryota; Viridiplantae; Streptophyta; Magnoliopsida; Poales; Poaceae. The record is from RNAcentral.